UACGGAGGGUGCGAGCGUUGUCCGGAAUCACUGGGCGUAAAGGGCGCGUAGGCGGCCCGCUAAGUUGCUGGUGAAAUCCCGGGGCUCAACUCCGGGGCUGCCGGUAAGACUGGCGGGCUCGAGCACGGUAGAGGCAGAUGGAAUUCCCGGUGUAGCGGUGGAAUGCGUAGAUAUCGGGAAGAAUACCGGUGGCGAAGGCGUUCUGCUGGGCCGUUGCUGACGCUGAGGCGCGACAGCGUGGGGAGCAAACAGG
RNAcentral lists this ribosomal RNA (253 nucleotides) under uncultured bacterium. RNAcentral's name for it is "partial 16S ribosomal RNA". It matches the Rfam family "Bacterial small subunit ribosomal RNA", at positions 524 to 776 of the family's 1533-position model. The record is from RNAcentral.